This 459-nucleotide ribosomal RNA is filed under the name uncultured bacterium. RNAcentral's name for it is "bacterial SSU rRNA". It matches the Rfam family "Bacterial small subunit ribosomal RNA", at positions 29 to 506 of the family's 1533-position model. The record is from RNAcentral.
ACGAACGCUGGCGGCGUGCUUAACACAUGCAAGUCGAACGGUAAGGCCCUUCGGGGUACACGAGUGGCGAACGGGUGAGUAACACGUGGGUGACCUGCCUCGAGCUCUGGGAUAAGCCUGGGAAACUGGGUCUAAUACCGGAUAUGACCUCAUGUCGCAUGGUGUGGGGUGGAAAGUUUUUCGGCUCGAGAUGGGCCCGCGGCCUAUCAGCUUGUUGGUGGGGUGAUGGCCUACCAAGGCGACGACGGGUAGCCGGCCUGAGAGGGCGACCGGCCACACUGGGACUGAGAUACGGCCCAGACUCCUACGGGAGGCAGCAGUGGGGAAUAUUGCGCAAUGGGCGGAAGCCUGACGCAGCGACGCCGCGUGGGGGAUGACGGCCUUCGGGUUGUAAACCUCUUUCGACCCCGACGAAGCGAGAGUGACGGUAGGGGUAUAAGAAGCACCGGCCAACUACGU